This 69-nucleotide transfer RNA is filed under the name Bos taurus (domestic cattle). It matches the Rfam family "tRNA". Rfam says of the family: Transfer RNA (tRNA) molecules are approximately 80 nucleotides in length. Their secondary structure includes four short double-helical elements and three loops (D, anti-codon, and T loops). Lineage: Eukaryota; Metazoa; Chordata; Mammalia; Artiodactyla; Bovidae. The record is from Rfam by way of RNAcentral. RNAcentral also lists the same sequence under 2 other names.
UCCCUAGUAGCUCAGUUGGUAAAGAAUUUGCCUGCAAUGCAAGAGACCCGGGUUCGAUCCCCUGGAGAA